This 572-nucleotide long non-coding RNA is filed under the name Homo sapiens (human). Its description in RNAcentral is "non-protein coding lnc-XPO1-7:1". Lineage: Eukaryota; Metazoa; Chordata; Mammalia; Primates; Hominidae. The record is from RNAcentral.
GAAUGCUACUCAUAUAGCACAAGGGUCUCAGGAGUCUUGUAUCACACGAACUGGGGACUUCCUUGGGGAGACUAUUGGGAAUGAAUUAUUUAAUUGUCGACAAUUUAUUGGUCCACAGCAUCACCACCACCACCACCACCAUCACCACCACCACGAUGGAGACAGAGUAUUGCUAUGUUGCCCAGGCUGGUCUUGAACCCCAGACCUCAGUGCUUUUGCCGCAGCCUCCCAAAGCUCUGGGAUUACAGGCGCAUAUGGUUGAUGAUAUGCUAAGUGCAGAUGAUGUCAGUUGUAGUAGCUCCCAGGUUAGUGCAAAAUCAGAAAAAAAUAUGGCUGAUUUUGAUGGUGAAGAAUCUGGAUGUGAAGAGGAGCUAGUUCAGAUUAAUUCACAUGCGGAACUGACAUCUCACCUCCAACAACAUCUUCCCAAUUUAGCUUCCAUUUACCAUGAACAUCUUAGUCAAGGACCUGUAGUUCAUAAACAUCAAUUCAACAGUAAUGCUGUUACAGACAUUAAUUUGGAUAAUGUUUGCAAGAAAGGAAAUACUUUGUUGUGGGAUAUAGUCCAAGAU